This 460-nucleotide ribosomal RNA is filed under the name uncultured bacterium. RNAcentral describes it as "partial 16S ribosomal RNA". It matches the Rfam family "Bacterial small subunit ribosomal RNA", at positions 338 to 795 of the family's 1533-position model. The record is from RNAcentral.
CCUACGGGAGGCAGCAGUGAGGAAUAUUGGUCAAUGGACUUACGCCUGAACCAGCCAAGUCGCGUGAGGGAAGACUGCCCUAUGGGUUGUAAACCUCUUUUGUCUGGGAGUAAUAUGCUCUACGUGUGGCAUUAUCUAUAGUACCUGAAGAAAAAGCAUCGGUAACCUCCUUGCCAGCAGCCGCGUUAAUAGGGGGGAUGCGACGUUUACCGGGUUUUAUGGGGUUGAAAGGAUGGUUGGUGGGUAGUCCAAGUAGGCGGGAAAGUCUCGGGGCUAAACGUAGAAUCGCCGUUGAAACUGGCAGUCUUGAGUGGACGAGAGGUGGGCGGAAUGCGUGGUGUAGCGGUGAAAUGCUUAGAUAUCACGAAGAACUCCGAUUGCGAAGGCAGUACACUGGCGCGCAACUGACACUGAGGCUCGAAAGUGUGGGUAUCGAACAGGAUUAGAUACCCUUGUAGUC